CCUACGGGUGGCAGCAGUGAGGAAUAUUGGUCAAUGGGAGAGAUCCUGAACCAGCCAAGCCGCGUGAGGGAAGACGGCCCUAUGGGUUGUAAACCUCUUUUGUCGGAGAACAAACCCCGGGACGUGUCCCGGACUGCGUGUAUCCUACGAACAAGCAUCGGCUAACUCCGUGCCAGCAGCCGCGGUAAUACGGAGGAUGCGAGCGUUAUCCGGAUUUAUUGGGUUUAAAGGGUGCGUAGGCGGCCUGCUAAGUCUGGAGUGAAAGGUACCGGCUCAACCGGUACAGGCUCGGGAAACUGGCGGGCUAGAGAGCAGGAGAGGGCGGUGGAACUCCAUGUGUAGCGGUAAAAUGCGUAGAUAUAUGGAAGAACACCAGUGGCGAAGGCGGCCGCCUGGCCUGUGACUGACGCUGAGGCACGAAAGCGUGGGGAGCAAAUAGGAUUAGAUACCCGAGUAGUC
Molecule: ribosomal RNA, 459 nt
Filed under: uncultured bacterium
Lineage: Bacteria
Description: partial 16S ribosomal RNA
Rfam family: Bacterial small subunit ribosomal RNA
Source: RNAcentral